GGAGUUUCCGGGGGUGUGUUUGGAGGAGUUUCUGGUGGUGUGGUUGGAGGUGUCUUUGGUGUGUUUGGAGGAGUUCCCGGUGGUGUGUUUGGAGGUGUUUCUGGUGGAGUAUUUGGAGGACUUUGUGGGGGGGUGUUUGGUGGAGUUUCUGGUGGUGUGAUUGGAGGAGUUUCUGGUGGUGUGGUUGGAGGUGUCUCCGGUGGUGUGUUUGGAGGAGUUCCUGGUGGUGUGUUUGGAAGUGUCUCUGGUGGUGUGUUUGGAGGAGUUCCCGGUGGUGUGUUUGGAGGUGUUUCUGGUGGAGUAUUUGGAGGACUUUGUGGGGGGGUGUUUGGUGGAGUUUCUGGUGGUGUGAUUGGAGGAGUUUCUGGUGGUGUUGUUGGAGGUGUCUCCGGUGGUGUGUUUGGAGGAGUUCCUGGUGGUGUGUUUGGAAGUGUCUCCGGUGGUGUGUUUGGAGGAGUUCCCGGUGGUGUGUUUGGAGGUGUUUCUGGUGGAGUAUUUGGAGGACUUUGUGGGGGUGUGUUUGGUGGAAUUUCCGGUGGUGUGGUUGGAGAAGUUUCCGGUGGUGUGUUUGGAGAAGUUUCUGGUGGUGUGGUUGGAGGUGUCUCCGGUGGUGUGGUUGGAGGUGUCUCCGGUGGUGUGUUUGGAGGAGUUCCCGGUGGUGUGUUUGGAGGUAUUUCCGGUGGAGUGUUUGGAGGACUUUCUGGGGGCGUGUUUGGUGGAGUUUCUGGUGGUGUUGUUGGAGGUGUCUCCGGUGGCGUGUUUGGUGGAAGCGUUGGUGGAGUCUGUGGUGGUGUGUUAGGAGGUAUUUCCGGUGGUAUGGUCGGAGGUGUCUGUGGUGGUAGGGUUGGUGGACCUGUUGGUAAAACUUCCGUAGGUGGUGUGGCUGGUGGACCCGUCGGUGGAGUCUCCGGUG
This 913-nucleotide long non-coding RNA is filed under the name Arabidopsis thaliana (thale cress). RNAcentral describes it as "long non-coding RNA (ATHA_LNC000288)". Lineage: Eukaryota; Viridiplantae; Streptophyta; Magnoliopsida; Brassicales; Brassicaceae. The record is from RNAcentral.